GACGAACGCUGGCGGCGUGCCUAAUACAUGCAAGUAGAACGCACAGUUCAUACCGUAGCUUGCUACACCAUAGACUGUGAGUUGCGAACGGGUGAGUAACCCGUAGGUAACCUGUCUGGUAGCGUGGGGUAACUAUGGGUAACGAUAGCUAAUAGCGCAUACUAUUAAUUAUUGCUUGGAAAUUAAUUGAAAGUUGGAAUUGCAUCACUACUUGUCGGAUCGGCGUUGUAUUAGCUAGUAGGUGAGGUAACGGCUCAUCUAGGCGAGGAAACAUAGCCGAACUGAGAGGGUGAUCGGCCGCACUGAGACGGUGACACGGCCCAGAGUCCUACGGGUAGCAGCAGUAGGGAAACUGCGGCAAGGGGCGAAAAACUGUCCGAGAAACGCCGCAUGAGUGAAGAAGGUGUUCGGGUCGUAAAGCUCUGUUGUAAGGGAAGAACGCGUGUGAGAGUGGAAAGUUCACACUGUGACGGUAUCUUACCAGAAAGGGACGGCUAACUACGUG
RNAcentral lists this ribosomal RNA (505 nucleotides) under uncultured bacterium. RNAcentral describes it as "partial 16S ribosomal RNA". It matches the Rfam family "Bacterial small subunit ribosomal RNA", at positions 28 to 507 of the family's 1533-position model. The record is from RNAcentral.